AUUUACCCGACGAGUCCCAAAUAGGACGAAAAGCGCGUCUUGGAU
RNAcentral lists this non-coding RNA (45 nucleotides) under Trichobilharzia regenti. Lineage: Eukaryota; Metazoa; Platyhelminthes; Trematoda; Strigeidida; Schistosomatidae. The record is from RNAcentral.